Molecule: ribosomal RNA, 207 nt
Filed under: uncultured bacterium
Lineage: Bacteria
Description: partial 16S ribosomal RNA
Rfam family: Bacterial small subunit ribosomal RNA
Source: RNAcentral
UGCGUAGGUGGUUUGUUAAGUCAGAUGUGAAAGCCCCGGGCUCAACCUGGGAACUGCAUUUGAUACUGUCAGGCUAGAGUGUGGUAGAGGGAAGUGGAAUUCCGGGUGUAGCGGUGAAAUGCGUAGAUAUCCGGAGGAACACCGGUGGCGAAGGCGGCUUCCUGGACCGACACUGACACUGAGGCACGAAAGCGUGGGUAGCAAACA